CGAAAUUACAGCAUGCAAAGUGCAUCUGUGUGUGUGUUACAGGCAGCCCAGGGGUUGGGACCACGCUUACAGCCCUUUGGCUUUGCAUUCGAGCUCAGGUAGUCGAUGAAUGGAUUCGUUCUCCUUCCUAUGAGCUUUUAGAAAGGAGGACGUGGAAGGCAAUUCCAGAAGCUCCCAGUGCUGCUGGUGCAUCCCAGUGACAGGGCUGGGCAGACUGGAGCCCUGCCAUAGGGGUUUGGGGGCAGACCCCUCUCACUGCAGACCACAGGAGCACGCCAGGGCUCUCCAGCCUUACAAAAAGCACAGGGAGCACCAGAGCCAGGAAUCCACCGCAGAAGAUGGCGAAGGCCACAGCGUAGGCCAUGAGCAGAGGGAAGGUGGUGGCCAGGGGGCAGAGCAGGUUGGUGACACCGCAGAGCACCAGGUAAGCUGCGUGGUAAUGGUACUUCUUGGUCCAGUUCUGGUCUGCAAUCCACCCUGAGAGCAGCUGGCUGCCCGUCUCGGUGAUGCCUGCAGGGAGAGGACACUGAGCCUCAGGGAAGGGUUCCUUACGUAGAUAGAUGUGUAUUUAUCCCAACUUUUGGUGCUUAUUUUCACAUUUCUGGAUGUGUUUGUGUCAGAUGAAGAUCAGGGGAGGGGGAGCUGUCAGCUCGUCGUGCUGCGUCCCUCCCGCUCUUAAUUAAGGGCGUCAGAUUAAUUGCUGUGGGCUCCUCCUCAGCUCCUCCGCCACAUACCUCAUUCCUACACGUUG
This 751-nucleotide long non-coding RNA is filed under the name Gallus gallus (chicken). Its description in RNAcentral is "long non-coding RNA NONGGAT005379". The record is from RNAcentral. Lineage: Eukaryota; Metazoa; Chordata; Aves; Galliformes; Phasianidae.